AAAAAAUUAAGUUGCAAAUUUAGAAUAUUGAGCACGCCGGAUCAGGCCAAAAAAUUGACUUUAGCUUCCCCAAUUUCCAAGCCCUUCAGGUACAAUUCCACUUUCUUUAUAGAACCUUAAAAUAUUGGGUCGCUUUUUCUUGACAAAAUGGUUGUUAUCAUACUCAUAACAAUUGUUACUCUGGAAUUGGGGAGGAGAAUCAUACAAGUAUAGGCUUAUGCUGCUUGAGAUCAAUUAGGUGAUCUAUAUACUCAUAUAAUAUCAUGUAAUAUGACUAAACUCUACUUUAGAGUUCCUGUAGUGUGUGGCUUUUCCCUCUGGAUGUUGAUUUCUUAAUAUGGCACUGUGUGAUUGUUUGAGUAUCAUGAGGUUGAAUGUAAACAGAAUAGUUUAUGUAGAACCAUUUUAAUUGCAUUUGGUAGUUCCUGAAAGCUUUUAGCUCAACCACAAUAAUUUUGCAAGGUAUUGCGCACAUCUAUCUGUUCUUUAUAGAGUCAAGUGGAAAGGAGAACAUGACCCUUUGUAGUCUAAUUUUCUUUUGCCUUACAGGAACAUGAUGGGCUAAUUGUUUGAACAACAAUUAUUUUUGCAAGUAAGAUAGCUAGUAAGAUAUUAACCGGACACUAUAUCAGGUGAGUGUUUUAAGUAUCUAGCACUAUUUAUUUCGGACUCUCAUAUCUGUGUGAACAUCUUUUUGACAAAUGCAGGGAUUGUUUCAAAGAAAAAAACAUAUAACCUUGAGAUCAUCUUGGGUUAUUUCUUUGUAAUCUGAAGACAUUAGGUUAUUUCUCCUAGACAUGAACCUAUUUUUUACAUGAAAAGUUUCUUUGUCACGAUCAAGAACCUAUUUUUCCUAGACAUGAUCAUCUUGGGUUGUUUCUUUGUCAACUCUGUGUAGACCUAUCAUGAUGGAAAGUUUCCAUUGUUGGAACCUAUGGAUUCGAUCACCUACAACAGAUAAUGAUGAUGAUCUUUUGACGUACAAUAUCAUUUAUAAUAUAAUUAUUCAAAAAGCCUUUGCAUGGAUAGAUCCCUUGGAUGGGCCCAAAUUCUGAUGAUGUGCCAUGGUUCCUUAUUCAUAUUUCAUAGAAGGUUGACUCCAACUUCGUACAGUGAUAGCAGUUGCUCCAUUUUUACUGUUGAGGUAUUUCACUUCUAUUUGUUUUAUUAUCAUCUUAAUUUACCUUGUGCAUAAUUCGAAUUGUGAAGGAUCUUAUAGAUUUCUUCUGAAUGUAAGUUGGUCUUCCAUUAGUUUUUGAUACACGAAGUUCACCAAUAAAUUAUGAGAUAAAAUCUGAAGUAACCACUAGAUUUAGUUGGCAAACACACAGUCCACUUUUAACUGUAGAACCUCAAUCUGAUUGAGUAUAGCCCAUAUAUACCUAGGUUUGUUUAAGAAUACAUGGGUAUAACUUUUUAGUGCUUUCUAUCAUGUUCCUCGAUUUUGCCAGAGAUUUGAAGCUGCUUUCAUUUGUUACCUUGUGUAUUUCUCAUUCAUAACCGAUUUUUUCUUUUUAGAGUUUUUGCCCCAAGAUGCAAUGAAGGCAUAUUAAUUUGGUGUUUUUCUCUGUAUGUUGUGGUAAAGUAUCAUUUAUACUAUUGAUAUGGACCUGAAAUAUUGUGUGUUCUUAUAUUAAAUUUGAUAACCACUGUGUGCAUCAAUUAAAAUCUGCUAAUUCUCAUGACUUGCUUCUAAAUCCUCCUUUUAAUUCAAACACAAUAUUUUUAGGUUAACUAUGUUCUUGAGGCCCUGGUUGUACUACAUCCCCAUUGUCUCUUAUCGUUUCAUAUUAGCUAAUUUUAUUGGAUGGUGAUAAAGUUUGACAGAUAUGUUAUACGUGAAAUAUUAAAUAGACCAGAGUUAUCGUCCCAGCAUAUAAAUUGGAGACAUGGCAUAUUGGAUUCUGCAAGAAAUGUCGUCGAGAAGAGCAGCUAAAUGAAUCUAUAUCUUAGUCACAUUGUAGUAUUUAAUUUUAAUAGAAGGGAUACGCAAAACAGGGCCACUUGGAAAGGUUGUACUCUUAUUUGAGAUGUUUGAGGUGUAGAUUUAUAAAAUACUGGAAUUCCAAUACAGCAACAUAGAGAUAUUAUGCAAGAUGUAAGGGUUUGGAGUUCUCCCAAACAAUGUUGUAUGUAUAUGAUCUUGUGAAGUAUCGCUGCUCUUAUUAGCCUAAGAGGCUCCUUGGCCAUUCAACAUUUCUAAUCAAAUUUCAUUUCAAAUUC
RNAcentral lists this long non-coding RNA (2223 nucleotides) under Nicotiana benthamiana. Its description in RNAcentral is "long non-coding RNA (NBEN_LNC041868)". The record is from RNAcentral. Lineage: Eukaryota; Viridiplantae; Streptophyta; Magnoliopsida; Solanales; Solanaceae.